RNAcentral lists this signal recognition particle RNA (306 nucleotides) under Colobus angolensis palliatus. RNAcentral's name for it is "Metazoan signal recognition particle RNA (ENSCANG00000011037.1)". It matches the Rfam family "Metazoan signal recognition particle RNA". From Rfam's summary of the family: The signal recognition particle (SRP) is a universally conserved ribonucleoprotein. Lineage: Eukaryota; Metazoa; Chordata; Mammalia; Primates; Cercopithecidae. The record is from RNAcentral.
GCCAGGCAUGGCAGUGUGUGUGCACCUGUAGUCCCAGCUACUCAGGAGGCUGAGGCAGGAGGAUCACUUGAGUCCAGGAGUUCUGGGCUAUAGAAGCCUAGGUCUACUGGGUGUCCACACUAAGUUUAGCAUCAAUAUGGCAAGCUCCUGAGAGCAGGGGACCACCAGGUUUCCUAAGGAGGUGUGAACUGGCUGGCCCAGGUCAGAAAUGGAGCAGGUCAAAACUCCCGUGCUGAUCAGGAGUGACACUGUGCUGAGAUCAGCCACUCCACGCCAGGCUAGGCAACACGGCAGGGCCCUGUCUCA